Molecule: ribosomal RNA, 277 nt
Filed under: uncultured bacterium
Lineage: Bacteria
Description: partial 16S ribosomal RNA
Rfam family: Bacterial small subunit ribosomal RNA
Source: RNAcentral
AACGAACGCUGGCGGCGUGCCUAACACAUGCAAGUCGAGCGCGAAAGCCCCUUCGGGGGCCAGUAGAGCGGCGCACGGGUGAGUAACACGUGGGUAAUCUGCCCUUAGGUCCGGAAUAACCCAGGGAAACUUGAGCUAAUACCGGAUAAGACCACGAGACGAGAGUCUCGGGGGAAAAGCAGGGGCCUCCUUCGGGAGCCUUGCGCCAAAGGAUGAGCCCGCGGCCCAUCAGCUUGUUGGCGGGGUAACGGCCCACCAAGGCGAAGACGGGUAGCUG